This 340-nucleotide ribosomal RNA is filed under the name uncultured Ehrlichia sp. RNAcentral describes it as "bacterial SSU rRNA". It matches the Rfam family "Bacterial small subunit ribosomal RNA", at positions 62 to 415 of the family's 1533-position model. The record is from RNAcentral. Lineage: Bacteria; Pseudomonadati; Pseudomonadota; Alphaproteobacteria; Rickettsiales; Anaplasmataceae.
UCAAUUUUUUAUAGCCUCUGGCUAUAGGAAAUUGUUAGUGGCAGACGGGUGAGUAAUGCGUAGGAAUCUACCUAGUAGUACGGAAUAGCCAUUAGAAAUGGUGGGUAAUACUGUAUAAUCCCCGAGGGGGAAAGAUUUAUCGCUAUUAGAUGAGCCUACGUUAGAUUAGCUAGUUGGUGAGGUAAUGGCUUACCAAGGCUAUGAUCUAUAGCUGGUCUGAGAGGACGAUCAGCCACACUGGAACUGAGAUACGGUCCAGACUCCUACGGGAGGCAGCAGUGGGGAAUAUUGGACAAUGGGCGAAAGCCUGAUCCAGCUAUGCCGCGUGAGUGAAGAAGGC